RNAcentral lists this ribosomal RNA (643 nucleotides) under uncultured Actinomycetes bacterium. RNAcentral's name for it is "bacterial SSU rRNA". It matches the Rfam family "Bacterial small subunit ribosomal RNA", at positions 232 to 885 of the family's 1533-position model. The record is from RNAcentral. Lineage: Bacteria; Bacillati; Actinomycetota; Actinomycetes.
CGCGGCCUAUCAGCUUGUUGGUGGGGUAAUGGCCUACCAAGGCGACGACGGGUAGCCGGCCUGAGAGGGCGACCGGCCACACUGGGACUGAGACACGGCCCAGACUCCUACGGGAGGCAGCAGUGGGGAAUAUUGCACAAUGGGCGAAAGCCUGAUGCAGCGACGCCGCAUGAGGGAUGACGGCCUUCGGGUUGUAAACCUCUUUCAGCAGGGAAGAAGCGAAAGUGACGGUACCUGCAGAAGAAGCGCCGGCUAACCACGUGCCAGCAGCCGCGGUAAUACGUAGGGCGCAAGCGUUGUCCGGAAUUGUUGGGCGUAAAGAGCUCGUAGGCGGCUUGUCACGUCGGGUGUGAAGGCCUGGGGCCUAACCCCGGGUCUGCAUCCGAUACGGGCAGGCUAGAGUGUGGUAGGGGAGAUCGGAAUUCCUGGUGUAGCGGUGAAAUGCGCAGAUAUCAGGAGGAACACCGGUGGCGAAGGCGGAUCUCUGGGCCAUUACUGACGCUGAGGAGCGAAAGCGUGGGGAGCGAACAGGAUUAGAUACCCUGGUAGUCCACGCCGUAAACGUUGGGAACUAGGUGUUGGCGACACUCCACGUCGUCGGUGCCGCAGCUAACGCAUUAAGCUCCCCGCCUGGGGAGUACGG